Molecule: ribosomal RNA, 468 nt
Filed under: uncultured bacterium
Lineage: Bacteria
Description: bacterial SSU rRNA
Rfam family: Bacterial small subunit ribosomal RNA
Source: RNAcentral
ACUCCUACGGGAGGCAGCAGUGGGGAAUAUUGGACAAUGGGCGAAAGCCUGAUCCAGCCAUGCCGCGUGGGUGAAGAAGGCCUUCGGGUUGUAAAGCCCUUUUGUUGGGAAAGAAAUCCUGUCGGUUAAUACCCGGCGGGGAUGACGGUACCCAAAGAAUAAGCACCGGCUAACUUCGUGCCAGCAGCCGCGGUAAUACGAAGGGUGCAAGCGUUACUCGGAAUUACUGGGCGUAAAGCGUGCGUAGGCGGUUCGUUAAGUCUGUCGUGAAAGCCCUGGGCUCAACCUGGGAAUUGCGAUGGAUACUGGCGGGCUAGAGUACGGUAGAGGAUGGUGGAAUUCCCGGUGUAGCGGUGAAAUGCGUAGAGAUCGGGAGGAACACCCGUGGCGAAGGCGGCCAUCUGGACCAGUACUGACGCUGAGGCACGAAAGCGUGGGGAGCAAACAGGAUUAGAUACCCUGGUAGUC